RNAcentral lists this ribosomal RNA (489 nucleotides) under uncultured bacterium. RNAcentral's name for it is "bacterial SSU rRNA". It matches the Rfam family "Bacterial small subunit ribosomal RNA", at positions 903 to 1397 of the family's 1533-position model. The record is from RNAcentral.
AAAUGAAUAGACGGGGGCCCGCACAAGCGGUGGAGCAUGUGGUUUAAUUCGACGCAACGCGAAGAACCUUACCAGGUCUUGACAUCCGGUGCAAGACACUAGAGAUAGUGGGAUAGUUAUGGCCGAGACAGGUGGUGCAUGGUUGUCGUCAGCUCGUGUCGUGAGAUGUUUGGUUAAGUCCAGCAACGAGCGCAACCCUUGUCCUUAGUUGCCAUCAUUAAGUUGGGGACUCUAAGGAGACUGCCGGUGUAAAUCGGAGGAAGGUGGGGAUGACGUCAAAUCAUCAUGCCCUUUAUGACCUGGGCUACACACGUGCUACAAUGGGCGGUACAAAGAGAAGCGAGACAGUGAUGUUAAGCAAACCUCAAAAAGCCGCUCUCAGUUCGGAUUGAAGUCUGCAACUCGACUUCAUGAAGCCGGAAUCGCUAGUAAUCGCGAAUCAGCAACGUCGCGGUGAAUACGUUCUCGGGCCUUGUACACACCGCCCGU